AACGUCUGUGAGUUUUACACCUCCUUCAACCCCUGUGGACAUACCUAAAACGUUGCUUCGGCGGGAAACACACGGCCCUAUAACAAGGGCCGCCCCCCCCAGGGACCCCUAACUCUGUUUUUAUAAUGUUUUUCUGAGUAAACAAGCAAAUAAAUUAAAACUUUCAACAACGGAUCUCUUGGCUCUAACAUCGAUGAGAACGCACCGAAAUGCGAUAAGUAAUGUGAAUUGCAAAAUUCAGUGAAUCAUCGAAUCUUUGAACGCCAUUGCGCCCGCCAGUAUUCUGGCGGGCAUGCCUGUUCAGGGUCAUUACAACCCUCAGGCCCCCGGGCCUGGCGUUGGGGACGGCGGAAGCCCCCUGUGGGCACACGCCGUCCCUCAAAACAGGGGCGGUCCCGGCCCAGCUUCCGGGCGUAUAACCUAACACCUCGAAGGGGGGAGGGGGCCGGGCCAUGCCUUAAAACACCCACUUCUAAAGGUCGCCCUCGAACAGGUAGGAAUACGGGAGGAACUUAAGUAAUCAAUAGCGGGAGAA
This 535-nucleotide ribosomal RNA is filed under the name Fusarium oxysporum. RNAcentral's name for it is "eukaryotic LSU rRNA". The stretch from base 159 to 309 matches the Rfam family "5.8S ribosomal RNA". Lineage: Eukaryota; Fungi; Ascomycota; Sordariomycetes; Hypocreales; Nectriaceae. The record is from RNAcentral.